ACCGAUAGCGCACAAGUACCGUGAGGGAAAGGUGAAAAGAACCGUGGGUAACGGAGUGAAAUAGAACCUGAAACCAUCUACUUACAAUCAUUCAGAGCCCUAUGAUUUAUCAGGGUGAUGGACUGCCUUUUGCAUAAUGAUCCUGCGAGUUGUGGUGUCUGGCAAGGUUAAGUGAAAACGAGCCGUAGCGAAAGCGAGUCUGAAUAGGGCUAUUUAGUCAGACGCUGCAGACCCGAAGCCAAGUGAUCUAUCCAUGGCCAAGUUGAAACGAGUGUAACAGCUUGUGGAGGACUGAACCCGUGCCCAUUGAAACGGGCUGGGAUGAGCUGUGGAUAGGGGUGAAAGGCCAAACAAACUUGGUGAUAGCUGGUUCUCUUCGAAAUAUAUUUAGGUAUAGCCUCAAGUCAUGACAAGAGGGGGUAGAGCUCUGAUUGGGCUAGGGCUGCUCGCCGCAGUACCAAACCCUGUCAAACUGCGAAUACCUUUUGUUGUAUCUUGGGAGUCAGGCGGUGGGUGAUAAAAUCAAUCGUCAAGAGGGAAACAACCCAGACUACCAACUAAGGUCCCCAAGUUCUAUUCUGAGUGGAAAAAGAUGUGUGGUUACUCAAACAACCAGGAGGUUGGCUUAGAAGCAGCCAUCCUUUAAAGAAAGCGUAACAGCUCACUGGUCUAGUGAUCAUGCGCUGAAAAUAUAACGGGGCUAAGAUAGACACCGAAGUUGUAGAUUAUGUUUCACACAUAGUGGUAGAAGAGCGUUCUGUGCAGCACUGAAGGCAUACCGGUAAGGAGUGUUGGAGCGCACAGAAGUGAGCAUGCAGGAAUGAGUAGCGAUAAGAUGCGUAAGAAUCGUAUCCGCCGUAAAUCUAAGGUUUCCUACGCGAUGUUCGUCAUCGUAGGGUUAGUCGGGUCCUAAGCCAAGUCCAAAAGGGGUAGGCGAUGGCAAAUGGGUUAAUAUUCCCAUACCAAUUGCAAUGUGCGAUGGGAGGACGCAUAAAGUUAGGCGAGCCAGCUGAUGGAAGUGCUGGUCGAAGGGUGUAGAUUGGGAGAGUGGCAAAUCCGCUCCUGUAUUUGAAACCUGACAGGCUCUCUAAGACCUUCGGGUCAAGGGGAGAAUCGCUGAUACUAUCGUGCCAAGAAAAGUCUCUAAGUUUAGUUGCAAUUGUCCGUACCGCAAACCGACACAGGUAGAUGAGAUGAGUAUUCUAAGGCGCGUGGAUGAACUCUCUUUAAGGAACUCUGCAAACUAGCACCGUAAGUUCGCGAUAAGGUGUGCCUACUCUAAGUAGGUCUCAGCAAAGAGUCCCUCCCGACUGUUUACCAAAAACACAGCACUUUGCCAACUCGUAAGAGGAAGUAUAAGGUGUGACGCCUGCCCGGUGCUCGAAGGUUAAGAGGAUGGGUUAGCCGCAAGGCGAAGCUUUGAAUUGAAGCCCGAGUAAACGGCGGGCGGAACUAUAANACCGAUAGCGCACAAGUACCGUGAGGGAAAGGUGAAAAGAACCGUGGGUAACGGAGUGAAAUAGAACCUGAAACCAUCUACUUACAAUCAUUCAGAGCCCUAUGAUUUAUCAGGGUGAUGGACUGCCUUUUGCAUAAUGAUCCUGCGAGUUGUGGUGUCUGGCAAGGUUAAGUGAAAACGAGCCGUAGCGAAAGCGAGUCUGAAUAGGGCUAUUUAGUCAGACGCUGCAGACCCGAAGCCAAGUGAUCUAUCCAUGGCCAAGUUGAAACGAGUGUAACAGCUUGUGGAGGACUGAACCCGUGCCCAUUGAAACGGGCUGGGAUGAGCUGUGGAUAGGGGUGAAAGGCCAAACAAACUUGGUGAUAGCUGGUUCUCUUCGAAAUAUAUUUAGGUAUAGCCUCAAGUCAUGACAAGAGGGGGUAGAGCUCUGAUUGGGCUAGGGCUGCUCGCCGCAGUACCAAACCCUGUCAAACUGCGAAUACCUUUUGUUGUAUCUUGGGAGUCAGGCGGUGGGUGAUAAAAUCAAUCGUCAAGAGGGAAACAACCCAGACUACCAACUAAGGUCCCCAAGUUCUAUUCUGAGUGGAAAAAGAUGUGUGGUUACUCAAACAACCAGGAGGUUGGCUUAGAAGCAGCCAUCCUUUAAAGAAAGCGUAACAGCUCACUGGUCUAGUGAUCAUGCGCUGAAAAUAUAACGGGGCUAAGAUAGACACCGAAGUUGUAGAUUGCUCUUUUAGAGCAGUGGUAGAAGAGCGUUCUGUGCAGCACUGAAGGCAUACCGGUAAGGAGUGUUGGAGCGCACAGAAGUGAGCAUGCAGGAAUGAGUAGCGAUAAGAUGCGUAAGAAUCGUAUCCGCCGUAAAUCUAAGGUUUCCUACGCGAUGUUCGUCAUCGUAGGGUUAGUCGGGUCCUAAGCCAAGUCCAAAAGGGGUAGGCGAUGGCAAAUGGGUUAAUAUUCCCAUACCAAUUGCAAUGUGCGAUGGGAGGACGCAUAAAGUUAGGCGAGCCAGCUGAUGGAAGUGCUGGUCGAAGGGUGUAGAUUGGGAGAGUGGCAAAUCCGCUCCUGUAUUUGAAACCUGACAGGCUCUCUAAGACCUUCGGGUCAAGGGGAGAAUCGCUGAUACUAUCGUGCCAAGAAAAGUCUCUAAGUUUAGUUGCAAUUGUCCGUACCGCAAACCGACACAGGUAGAUGAGAUGAGUAUUCUAAGGCGCGUGGAUGAACUCUCUUUAAGGAACUCUGCAAACUAGCACCGUAAGUUCGCGAUAAGGUGUGCCUACUCUAAGUAGGUCUCAGCAAAGAGUCCCUCCCGACUGUUUACCAAAAACACAGCACUUUGCCAACUCGUAAGAGGAAGUAUAAGGUGUGACGCCUGCCCGGUGCUCGAAGGUUAAGAGGAUGGGUUAGCCGCAAGGCGAAGCUUUGAAUUGAAGCCCGAGUAAACGGCGGCCGUAACUAUAACGGUCCUANUCCCCGCCGUAAAUCUAAGGUUUCCUACGCGAUGUUCGUCAUCGUAGGGUUAGUCGGGUCCUAAGCCAAGUCCAAAAGGGGUAGGCGAUGGCAAAUGGGUUAAUAUUCCCAUACCAAUUGCAAUGUGCGAUGGGAGGACGCAUAAAGUUAGGCGAGCCAGCUGAUGGAAGUGCUGGUCGAAGGGUGUAGAUUGGGAGAGUGGCAAAUCCGCUCCUGUAUUUGAAACCUGACAGGCUCUCUAAGACCUUCGGGUCAAGGGGAGAAUCGCUGAUACUAUCGUGCCAAGAAAAGUCUCUAAGUUUAGUUGCAAUUGUCCGUACCGCAAACCGACACAGGUAGAUGAGAUGAGUAUUCUAAGGCGCGUGGAUGAACUCUCUUUAAGGAACUCUGCAAACUAGCACCGUAAGUUCGCGAUAAGGUGUGCCUACUCUAAGUAGGUCUCAGCAAAGAGUCCCUCCCGACUGUUUACCAAAAACACAGCACUUUGCCAACUCGUAAGAGGAAGUAUAAGGUGUGACGCCUGCCCGGUGCUCGAAGGUUAAGAGGAUGGGUUAGCCGCAAGGCGAAGCUUUGAAUUGAAGCCCGAGUAAACGGCGGCCGUAACUAUAACGGUCCUAAGGUAGCGAAAUUCCUUGUCGGUUAAAUACCGACCUGCAUGAAUGGCGUAACGAGAUGGGAGCUGUCUCAAAGAGAGAUCCAGUGAAAUUGUAGUGGAGGUGAAAAUUCCUCCUACCCGCAGCAAGACGGAAAGACCCCGUGGACCUUUACUAUAGCUUAGCACUGCUAAUGGGAAUGCCAUGCGCAGGAUAGGUGGGAGGCUGUGAAGUAAGGGCUUUGGCUCUUAUGGAGCCAUCCUUGAGAUACCACCCUUGGCGUUUUUGUUAGCUAACUGGCCUAAGUCAUCCUUAGGCAGGACAAUGCUUGGUGGGUAGUUUGACUGGGGCGGUCGCCUCCUAAAAAGUAACGGAGGCUUACAAAGGUUAGCUCAUGGCGGUUGGAAAUCGCCAGCUGAGUGUAAUGGCACAAGCUAGCUUAACUGCAAGAGAGACAACUCAAGCAGGGACGAAAGUCGGUCAUAGUGAUCCGGUGGUUCUCGUGUGGAAGAGCCAUCGCUCAAAGGAUAAAAGGUACCCCGGGGAUAACAGGCUGAUCUCCCCCAAGAGCUCACAUCGACGGGGAGGUUUGGCACCUCGAUGUCGGCUCAUCGCAUCCUGGGGCUGGAGCAGGUCCCAAGGGUAUGGCUGUUCGCCAUUUAAAGCGGUACGCGAGCUGGGUUCAGAACGUCGUGAGACAGUUCGGUCCCUAUCUGCUGUGGGCGUAGGAAAGCUGAGGAGAGCUGUCCCUAGUACGAGAGGACCGGGAUGGACAUGCCACUGGUGCACCAGUUGUUCUGCCAAGAGCACCGCUGGGUAGCCACGCAUGGUUGUGAUAAGAGCUGAAAGCAUCUAAGCUCGAAGCCAACUCCAAGAUAAGCUUUCCCUGAAGCUCGCAUGAAGACUACAUGUUUGAUAGGGUGGGUGUGUAAGUGCAGCAAUGCAUUUAGCUAACCACUACUAAUAGAGCGUUUGGCUUGUUUGC
RNAcentral lists this ribosomal RNA (4504 nucleotides) under Helicobacter heilmannii ASB1.4. RNAcentral's name for it is "LSU rRNA". The stretch from base 1424 to 4504 matches the Rfam family "Bacterial large subunit ribosomal RNA". Lineage: Bacteria; Pseudomonadati; Campylobacterota; Epsilonproteobacteria; Campylobacterales; Helicobacteraceae. The record is from RNAcentral.